GUGAGCCACGCUGUCUCUCUCGAGUGAUGGCUACAGUGUGGUGUGCAGGUCCUGCACCACCUUCGUUGGAGUAACGAGUAAUUCAGGUCAGGAUCUAUCAAGCUACUCAGUGUCUGGCUGAAAAGGUAUGGCUGAUUCUGCAUGCCAAGAAUCCUGUACCCAGAUUAUCCUAAGAAUGAGUAAAGGAAGGUAAGUGGAUUUUGGUUGUGGAGUGGUGUGAUGGUGAACCCGGUCAAAACACUCCUGUGGGGUUGGUAUCUAAGCAAUAGGUUUGACUGAUUCUUGCAAUUGCUAUGAAUGUGGCAAGUACCAAUGACCUGGCUCAAACACAUCAAUUUUUCAUAUGUGCAGCAGUCUCUUUAACAAGCUGUUAUCUUAAAAGAGCCAAGUCAGUUUGUCCUGAUCACUUGAUUUGAAAACUAUAUGCAUUAAUGCAAUCUUAUUUGGGAACAUUGAUAGCUGAAAUUGAGUCCUCACAAGCCACAUGCCAGUCUGCCUGUUUCUCAGGUACAUUGCAGCAGCAGUGUUUCAGGAGUUCCAGCCUACCAGGAUUGGAAUGAUGAACUCAUAGUUCAACAGAGAACUAAUGAAGAUUUGAGCAUUUGUCUUUCGCUCCUAUCUGACAUUCCUGCUACUGAAACUUCAAAGCUACAUGUCAGUCUUUUCUGCUCUGAAUUAAUUUUUUGUUUUAGAUUUGCUUCUAGAUGUGAACAGUCUUUGGAUGUAUGACUCUUCAAAUGUUCAGAUAUUUGAUCAUUAUUAUGCAAGGACAACUGAUGGAAGAUUCUUGACUCCAGAUGAAGCUUGGCUUUGGACCAAACUUGUACACCAGGGGCAAGAGCUGUUAUGGCAUUAACCAGACAGCAUGGAAACAGACCCUCCAGUCUCAGUUCAGUCCAUGCUGACCAUGUGCCCAAACUAAAUUAGUUCCCACCUGCUUGAAUCUCAAGCUGUAGGAUCUGGGAUCAUUGCAGCACCAGUGAGGGAGCUGCACCAAUUGGAGGUUCAGAUGAUGUGGUGAGAUGAAAUUUUAUGGUAUCAAGUGGCCUUAAAUGGCUUUUGCAGAAAGGAUCUAAAAGGAAAGGCUUCUGAGGAACUUGAGUGGGAUGUUACAAUCUGGACAGGUGAAAGGAUGCCAAUCAAGAUUGGACUAAUUCCUGUAAUGUAACAAACAGCAAAUAUAAAUAAAGUGGAAAUGAAACCAAA
This is a long non-coding RNA of Stegostoma tigrinum, 1206 nucleotides long. RefSeq lists it as uncharacterized. The record is from RefSeq and is a predicted model, not a curated record. The transcript has 11 exons. Lineage: Eukaryota; Metazoa; Chordata; Chondrichthyes; Orectolobiformes; Stegostomatidae.